Molecule: transfer RNA, 70 nt
Filed under: Marmota monax (woodchuck)
Lineage: Eukaryota; Metazoa; Chordata; Mammalia; Rodentia; Sciuridae
Description: tRNA.Ala
Source: RNAcentral
GGGCUGGGGCUCAGUGGUAGAGUGCUUUCCUAGCAUGUGUGAGGGACUGGGUUCAAUCCCCAGCACCACA